RNAcentral lists this long non-coding RNA (425 nucleotides) under Mytilus galloprovincialis (Mediterranean mussel). Lineage: Eukaryota; Metazoa; Mollusca; Bivalvia; Mytilida; Mytilidae. The record is from RNAcentral.
UUCACUUUUACUACCAACUGAUAAAUUAAAACAAUCUUUACCAUUCAGUGAUAACAAGCACUUUUUUACAUUUUAAUAUUUUAUGAUGUAUUUAAAUGAGUAGUUAUUGUUGCAAACUCCAUUAGAAAUUUGAAUUGAGAUGAGUUUUGGAAUAAGGGAAAGGGGCAUGUGAAAAAAAAAUUGGGUGGGGGGUGUUCAAUUUUUCUCAUUUCAGAUUUCAUAAAUAAAAAGAAAAUUUCUUCAAACAUUUUUUUGAGAGGAUUAAUAUUCAACAGCAUAGUGCAUUGCUCAAAGGCAAAAACAAAAUUUUAAGUUCAUUAGACCACAUUCAUUCUGUGUCAGAAACCUAUGCUGUGUCAACUAUUUAAUCACAAUCCAAAUUUAGAGCUGAAUCCAGCUUGAAUGUUGUGUCCAUACUUGCCCCA